GUCCAUGCCGUAAACGUUGGGCACUAGGUGUGGGGGACAUUCCACGUUUUCCGCGCCGUAGCUAACGCAUUAAGUGCCCCGCCUGGGGAGUACGGCCGCAAGGCUAAAACUCAAAGGAAUUGACGGGGGCCCGCACAAGCGGCGGAGCAUGCGGAUUAAUUCGAUGCAACGCGAAGAACCUUACCAAGGCUUGACAUGGACUGGAAAUACCUGGAGACGGGUGCCCCGCUUGCGGUCGGUUCACAGGUGGUGCAUGGUUGUCGU
Molecule: ribosomal RNA, 264 nt
Filed under: uncultured bacterium
Lineage: Bacteria
Description: partial 16S ribosomal RNA
Rfam family: Bacterial small subunit ribosomal RNA
Source: RNAcentral